Molecule: ribosomal RNA, 229 nt
Filed under: uncultured bacterium
Lineage: Bacteria
Description: partial 16S ribosomal RNA
Rfam family: Bacterial small subunit ribosomal RNA
Source: RNAcentral
UACGUAGGCGGAAAAUUAAGUCAGUGGUGAAAUCCUGCAGCUUAACUGUAGAACUGUCAUUGAUACUGGUUUUCUUGAAUACAAUUGAGGUAGGCGGAAUGUGUAAUGUAGCGGUGAAAUGCUUAGAUAUUACACAGAACACCGAUUGCGAAGGCAGCUUACUAAACUGUUAUUGACGCUGAGGUACGAAAGCGUGGGGAGCGAACAGGAUUAGAUACCCUGGUAGUCC